RNAcentral lists this unclassified non-coding RNA (240 nucleotides) under soil metagenome. Its description in RNAcentral is "partial contains 5.8S ribosomal RNA, internal transcribed spacer 2, and large subunit ribosomal RNA". The record is from RNAcentral.
AAGACUAUAGACCUGCGGAGUACCUGCGGAGGGAUCAUUAACCUUUCAAAAAACAGGGUGCGUCGCGGCCCCCCUCCGGGGGCGGUUUGGGGUCCUCCCCUUCACGCGCGCACGACUGCAUCCUUACUUUACGAGCACCUUCUGUUCUCCCUCGGCGGGGCAACCUGCCGUUGGAACCGAAUAAACCCUUUUUUGCAUCCAGCAUUACCCGUUCCGAAACAAACAAUCGUUACAACUUUU